UGGGCCCGCGGCCUAUCAGCUUGUUGGUGGGGUAACGGCCUACCAAGGCGACGACGGGUAGCCGGCCUGAGAGGGUGUCCGGCCACACUGGGACUGAGAUACGGCCCAGACUCCUACGGGAGGCAGCAGUGGGGAAUAUUGCACAAUGGGCGCAAGCCUGAUGCAGCGACGCCGCGUGGGGGAUGACGGCCUUCGGGUUGUAAACCUCUUUCACUAUCGACGAAGGUUCGGGUUUUCUCGGAUUGACGGUAGAUGGAGAAGAAGCACCGGCCAACUACGUGCCAGCAGCCGCGGUAAUACGUAGGGUGCGAGCGUUGUCCGGAAUUACUGGGCGUAAAGAGCUCGUAGGUGGUUUGUCGCGUUGUUCGUGAAAUCUCACGGCUUAACUGUGAGCGUGCGGGCGAUACGGGCAGACUAGAGUACUGCAGGGGAGAUUGGAAUUCCUGGUGUAGCGGUGGAAUGCGCAGAUAUCAGGAGGAACACCGGUGGCGAAGGCGGGUCUCUGGGCAGUAACUGACGCUGAGGAGCGAAAGCGUGGGGAGCGAACAGGAUUAGAUACCCUGGUAGUCCACGCCGUAAACGGUGGGUACUAGGUGUGGGUUUCCUUCCUUGGGAUCCGUGCCGUANCUAACGCAUUAAGUACCCCGCCUGGGGGAGUACGGCCGCAAGGCUAAAACUC
RNAcentral lists this ribosomal RNA (679 nucleotides) under uncultured Mycobacterium sp. RNAcentral describes it as "bacterial SSU rRNA". It matches the Rfam family "Bacterial small subunit ribosomal RNA", at positions 226 to 902 of the family's 1533-position model. The record is from RNAcentral. Lineage: Bacteria; Bacillati; Actinomycetota; Actinomycetes; Mycobacteriales; Mycobacteriaceae.